RNAcentral lists this ribosomal RNA (444 nucleotides) under uncultured Lactobacillus sp. RNAcentral describes it as "bacterial SSU rRNA". It matches the Rfam family "Bacterial small subunit ribosomal RNA", at positions 958 to 1393 of the family's 1533-position model. Lineage: Bacteria; Bacillati; Bacillota; Bacilli; Lactobacillales; Lactobacillaceae. The record is from RNAcentral.
AACGCGAAGAACCUUACCAGGGCUUGACAUCUGAGGAACUUUUGUGAAAGCAGAAGGUGCUCUUCGGAGAGCCUCAAGACAGGUGGUGCACGGUUGUCGUCAGCUCGUGUCGUGAGAUGUUGGGUUAAGUCCCGCAACGAGCGCAACCCUCGUCGUUAGUUGGAUAAUUUGGUAUACUGGAUUAUUCCUCUCUAGCGAGACUGCCGGUGAUAAACCGGAGGAAGGUGGGGACGACGUCAAAUCAUCAUGCCCCUUAUGCUCUGGGCUACACACGUGUUACAAUGGCCGGUACAACGAGCCGCCAACUUGCGAGAGUGAGCAAAUCUCUAAAAACCGGUCUCAGUUCGGAUUGCACUCUGCAACUCGAGUGCAUGAAGUCGGAAUCGCUAGUAAACGCGGAUCAGCAUGCCGCGGUGAAUACGUUCCCGGGUCUUGUACACACGC